This 497-nucleotide ribosomal RNA is filed under the name uncultured bacterium. RNAcentral describes it as "partial 16S ribosomal RNA". It matches the Rfam family "Bacterial small subunit ribosomal RNA", at positions 28 to 507 of the family's 1533-position model. The record is from RNAcentral.
GAUGAACGCUGGCGGCGUGCCUAAUACAUGCAAGUCGAGCGAACGGACGAGAAGCUUGCUUCUCUGAUGUUAGCGGCGGACGGGUGAGUAACACGUGGAUAACCUACCUAUAAGACUGGGAUAACUUCGGGAAACCGUAGCUAAUACCGGAUAAUAUUUUGAACCGCAUGGUUCAAAAGUGAAAGACGGUCUUGCUGCCACUUAUAGAUGGAUCCGCGCUGCAUUAUCUAGUUGGUAAGGUAACGGCUUACCAAGGCAACGAUGCAUAGCCGACCUGAGAGGGUGAUCGGCCACACUGGAACUGAGACACGGUCCAGACUCCUACGGGAGGCAGCAGUAGGGAAUCUUCCGCAAUGGGCGAAAGCCUGACGGAGCAACGCCGCGUGAGUGAUGAAGGUCUUCGGAUCGUAGAACUCUGUUAUUAGGGAAGAACAUAUGUGUAAGUAACUGUGCACAUCUUGACGGUACCUAAUCAGAAAGCCACGGCUAACUACGUG